Molecule: ribosomal RNA, 285 nt
Filed under: Oxalobacteraceae bacterium
Lineage: Bacteria; Pseudomonadati; Pseudomonadota; Betaproteobacteria; Burkholderiales; Oxalobacteraceae
Description: partial 16S ribosomal RNA
Rfam family: Bacterial small subunit ribosomal RNA
Source: RNAcentral
ACGUGAAUCCCCGGGCUCAACCUGGGAAUUGCGAUGGAGACUGCAAGGCUAGAAUCUGGCAGAGGGGGGUAGAAUUCCACGUGUAGCAGUGAAAUGCGUAGAGAUGUGGAGGAACACCGAUGGCGAAGGCAGCCCCCUGGGUCAAGAUUGACGCUCAUGCACGAAAGCGUGGGGAGCAAACAGGAUUAGAUACCCUGGUAGUCCACGCCCUAAACGAUGUCUACUAGUUGUCGGGUUUUAAUUAACUUGGUAACGCAGCUAACGCGUGAAGUAGACCGCCUGGGG